ACACAAAAAUAGGUUAAUGAAAGACCGUUGGAUUCAUAAUCCGGAGGUGCGUGGAGCGCUGUUGUGUG
This 68-nucleotide transfer RNA is filed under the name Barbatia virescens. RNAcentral describes it as "tRNA-Met". Lineage: Eukaryota; Metazoa; Mollusca; Bivalvia; Arcoida; Arcidae. The record is from RNAcentral.